Dermochelys coriacea (leatherback sea turtle) is the source of this 144-nucleotide long non-coding RNA. RefSeq lists it as uncharacterized. Lineage: Eukaryota; Metazoa; Chordata; Testudines; Dermochelyidae. The transcript has 3 exons. The record is from RefSeq and is a predicted model, not a curated record.
AGAGACCCAGGCUGGUAGAGGGAUGGAGAUCACUGCUCAAUGGAUCACCUUUGGAGAAUCAGAGGAGUGAUAUUGGCCAUUCAGCCUCUGGUCAACCUGAGACUGCCAACAAUGUGUGACUGGGCUCAACUGCCCCAGAUGCCC